This 95-nucleotide non-coding RNA is filed under the name Protocruzia adhaerens. The record is from RNAcentral. Lineage: Eukaryota; Ciliophora; Spirotrichea.
UCAAGGUUUCUUUGGAUGGUAACGAUAAGAACACUUUCGAAGACAAGACCGAAGCUUUGACCAAGGUUUACAGAGCCUUGACCACCAAGGAAGUU